Molecule: ribosomal RNA, 497 nt
Filed under: uncultured bacterium
Lineage: Bacteria
Description: partial 16S ribosomal RNA
Rfam family: Bacterial small subunit ribosomal RNA
Source: RNAcentral
GACGAACGCUGGCGGCGUGCCUAAUACGUGCAAGUUGAGCGCUGAAGGUUGGUACUUGUACCAACUGGAUGAGCAGCGCACGGGUGAGUAACGCGUGGGGAAUCUGCCUUUGAGCGGGGGACAACAUUUGGAAACGAAUGCUAAUACCGCAUAAAAACUUUAAACACAAGUUUUAAGUUUGAAAGAUGCAAUUGCAUCACUCAAAGAUGAUCCCGCGUUGUAUUAGCUAGUUGGUGAGGUAAAGGCUCACCAAGGCGAUGAUACAUAGCCGACCUGAGAGGGUGAUCGGCCACACUGGGACUGAGACACGGCCCAAACUCCUACGGGAGGCAGCAGUAGGGAAUCUUCGGCAAGGGACGAAAGUCUGACCGAGCAACGCCGCGUGAGUGAAGAAGGUUUUCGGAUCGUAAAACUCUGUUGGUAGGGAAGAACGUUGGUGAGGGUGGAAAGCUCAUCAAGUGACGGUAACUACCCAGAAAGGGACGGCUAACUACGUG